RNAcentral lists this ribosomal RNA (484 nucleotides) under uncultured bacterium. RNAcentral's name for it is "partial 16S ribosomal RNA". It matches the Rfam family "Bacterial small subunit ribosomal RNA", at positions 28 to 507 of the family's 1533-position model. The record is from RNAcentral.
AUUGAACGCUGGCGGCAUGCUUUACACAUGCAAGUCGAACGGCAGCGCGGGCUUCGGCCUGGCGGCGAGUGGCGAACGGGUGAGUAAUGCAUCGGAACGUGCCCAGUAGUGGGGGAUAGCCCGGCGAAAGCCGGAUUAAUACCGCAUACGACCUGAGGGUGAAAGCGGGGGACCGAAAGGCCUCGCGCUAUUGGAGCGGCCGAUGUCGGAUUAGCUAGUUGGUGGGGUAAAGGCUUACCAAGGCGACGAUCCGUAGCUGGUCUGAGAGGACGACCAGCCACACUGGGACUGAGACACGGCCCAGACUCCUACGGGAGGCAGCAGUGGGGAAUGUUGGACAAUGGGGGCAACCCUGAUCCAGCCAUGCCGCGUGUGGGAAGAAGGCCUUCGGGUUGUAAACCGCUUUUGUUCGGGAAGAAAUCCUCUGGGCUAAUACCCCGGGGGGAUGACGGUACCGGAAGAAUAAGCACCGGCUAACUACGUG